UACGACCAUAUCACGUUGAAACACCGGUUUCCAUACGAUCACCGAUAUUAAGCAACUUCAAGCCUGGUCAGUAAAUAGAUGGGUGACCGCUUGGGAAUACCAAAUGCU
Molecule: non-coding RNA, 108 nt
Organism: Acanthosepion pharaonis
Lineage: Eukaryota; Metazoa; Mollusca; Cephalopoda; Sepiida; Sepiidae
Source: the annotation of a GenBank genome assembly